Molecule: ribosomal RNA, 1450 nt
Filed under: uncultured bacterium
Lineage: Bacteria
Also listed under: 1 other name
Description: 16S ribosomal RNA
Rfam family: Bacterial small subunit ribosomal RNA
Source: RNAcentral
AACGCUAGCUACAGGCUUAACACAUGCAAGUCGAGGGGCAUCAGGAAGAAAGCUUGCUUUCCUUGCUGGCGACCGGCGCACGGGUGAGUAACACGUAUCCAACCUGCCCUUUACUCGGGGAUAGCCUUUCGAAAGAAAGAUUAAUACCCGAUAGCAUAAUGAUUCCGCAUGGUUUCAUUAUUAAAGGAUUCCGGUAAAGGAUGGGGAUGCGUUCCAUUAGGUUGUUGGUGAGGUAACGGCCCACCAAGCCUUCGAUGGAUAGGGGUUCUGAGAGGAAGGUCCCCCACAUUGGAACUGAGACACGGUCCAAACUCCUACGGGAGGCAGCAGUGAGGAAUAUUGGUCAAUGGGCGCUAGCCUGAACCAGCCAAGUAGCGUGAAGGAUGAAGGCUCUAUGGGUCGUAAACUUCUUUUAUAUAAGAAUAAAGUGCAGUAUGUAUACUGUUUUGUAUGUAUUAUAUGAAUAAGGAUCGGCUAACUCCGUGCCAGCAGCCGCGGUAAUACGGAGGAUCCGAGCGUUAUCCGGAUUUAUUGGGUUUAAAGGGAGCGUAGGUGGACUGGUAAGUCAGUUGUGAAAGUUUGCGGCUCAACCGUAAAAUUGCAGUUGAUACUGUCAGUCUUGAGUACAGUAGAGGUGGGCGGAAUUCGUGGUGUAGCGGUGACAUGCUUAGAUAUCACGAAGAACUCCGAUUGCGAAGGCAGCUCACUGGACUGCAACUGACACUGAUGCUCGAAAGUGUGGGUAUCAAACAGGAUUAGAUACCCUGGUAGUCCACACAGUAAACGAUGAAUACUCGCUGUUUGCGAUAUACAGUAAGCGGCCAAGCGAAAGCAUUAAGUAUUCCACCUGGGGAGUACGCCGGCAACGGUGAAACUCAAAGGAAUUGACGGGGGCCCGCACAAGCGGAGGAACAUGUGGUUUAAUUCGAUGAUACGCGAGGAACCUUACCCGGGCUUAAAUUGCAGUGGAAUGAUGUGGAAACAUGUCAGUGAGCAAUCACCGCUGUGAAGGUGCUGCAUGGUUGUCGUCAGCUCGUGCCGUGAGGUGUCGGCUUAAGUGCCAUAACGAGCGCAACCCUUAUCUUUAGUUACUAACAGGUUAUGCUGAGGACUCUAGAGAGACUGCCGUCGUAAGAUGUGAGGAAGGUGGGGAUGACGUCAAAUCAGCACGGCCCUUACGUCCGGGGCUACACACGUGUUACAAUGGGGGGUACAGAAGGCAGCUAGCGGGUGACCGUAUGCUAAUCCCAAAAUCCUCUCUCAGUUCGGAUCGAAGUCUGCAACCCGACUUCGUGAAGCUGGAUUCGCUAGUAAUCGCGCAUCAGCCACGGCGCGGUGAAUACGUUCCCGGGCCUUGUACACACCGCCCGUCAAGCCAUGGGAGCCGGGGGUACCUGAAGUACGUAACCGCAAGGAUCGUCCUAGGGUAAAACUGGUGACUGGGGCUAAG